Molecule: long non-coding RNA, 8323 nt
Filed under: Gossypium barbadense (sea-island cotton)
Lineage: Eukaryota; Viridiplantae; Streptophyta; Magnoliopsida; Malvales; Malvaceae
Description: long non-coding RNA (GBAR_LNC011267)
Source: RNAcentral
GCCAACUUAACGUGUUGAAUGUAUUCAUUUUGUCGUUCUAACACGAGGUAUCUUAGUUUUAGACUUUUAUCAAAUCACCGGCAUUUAUCCUGCUAGGUUUAAAAACCCGAAUUCAUUCACCAGUAUUUCGCCUGCUAGGCUCGAAGCCCAAAUAGUAUCUAUCGGCAUUAUAGCCUGUUAGGCUCAAAGGCCCGAGUGGUAUUUCACCGGAAUUAUAGCCUGCUAGGCUCAAAGGCCCGAAUAGUAUCUCACCAGCAUUAUAGCCUGCUAGGCUCAAAGGCCCGAAUAGUACUGUGCGAUAUUCAAAUCAAUAAGUUUCAUAUAACAUAAUCACACCAAAUUGGAUACAAGCAUCAUUCGAACAUACAUCAUUUAAUCAUAAAAGUAUAUCACAUUUUACUUCCAUUACAAUUGCCAUUCAGACAUAUACAUAUAUGACAAGUAAUACUUAAUUCUUAUAAUAUGUCAUGUCAUUAUCAAAUAUAUAUAUUUAACUACUUAAAACUUACCUCGAAUAUAUUCGAACAGUCUCGGAUCGGCUAUUCAACUACUUUCUCUUUUCCCCUGUCCAACCUUGGUUCUCUAUGCUCUUGAGCUAAUUCAAACAAAAUUUAACUUAUUAAAGUCCCAUCAUGCUAGCUUAUGGCCGAAUAUGACAAGAAACUUAAUAGGCCAUAUAGUUACUUUUAGCUCAAAUAUAAAAUGGUCAUACACAUUUUUAAUUACAUUAAGCAAUUUACCUUAACAUAUAACCCACAUAACUAAAAUACAUAUAACCCUAAUGACCGAAUAAUUUGAAUAUGUAUAUCAUCAAAGUUCUUACGUUUAACCCUUAAAUCUUAUAGCUGAAUAUUCAUUGUAUAAUAACUCUCAUGCACAAGCACAAAACUCAUAUGGCUAUAAUAUAAUUUGAUAAACAAUCACACAUACAACCUAAUAUACAUAUAUGACAUGUUCGAACAUGCUAUUAUAAAUUAAAUACAUAUUGCGUUCUUAACAUAGAUUUCAAGGCUACAAUCAACAAUUGCAUUUGUUCCUAAAUAAUAGACUAAAACCAUCAUGGAACAUUUUACUAACUCAUUACCUUGCAUAUCCAGAUUUCAUUAAUUAAUAUACAUACAACUCCAAAUAUUAUAUCAUGGAACAAGUGCCAAAUUACAAAUUAUAAUAAUAUCAAAACAUAACUCUUACCAUGAUAUAAACAUAUUAAAACAUUAUUUAUUUAUUUAUCCAAUUCGGAUACAACAAAAAAACCUUAGAUAUCAAAUCUCUUACAACACAUUAACUAAAUUCAACAACCAAAUACACUUAUAUUUUUAUCCAUGCAUAUUAUAACCGAACCAGCCACACAAACUCAACCUAAAAACAUUAACCUUUCCCAAAACAUAUAUUACCUAUCUCAAACUUAAUUUAUAACCAUCUAAAUCAUUUAAAACAUCCAACACCAAACUUUUCUUUAACUAAACACAUUUUCGGCAUGACAAUGGCAAUUUAACAACCUUAAAUCCAACUUAUAAUUUUUUUUGCAUAUCACAAUCAAAGCAUCCACUCCAUUCCAUCAUUUUAAAACACAAGCAAUACUCAAAUAUCACCUAAGUUCACAUUCGGCAAUUCACCAAUACACAAGCCGAUUUUUCAUAACAUCCAAACUACCUAUAUGAACAUUAAACUAUCUCAAACAUCACCCAUUUGCAAUUAUUCAUUAAAACAUAAAGACAACAAUCAUCCCCUUCAAAAAUCUUCCAUAGCCGAAUACUUAAAUCACUACACAAUUCAAAAUUUUGACAUGGGCUAAGUAAGGGACUUAGUAACUAGCUUAAUAUAUGCUAUAAUUUCAAAAGCUAACAUGAAGUUCAUACCUUAAUCCAAGCUCAAAGUGACCGAAUGCUAUCUCCCCUUUUCUUCUUUAAGGUUCGGCUAAGUUAAGGAAGAAGAUGAAAUAUACAUUUUAUUUUUCUUUUGUUUUUCUAUUAUCAUUUCUUAUUUUAAUUAAUUUUUAUUUCAUAAAUUAAACCAUUACCAUUAUAAUAUUAAUAUAUAAUACAUAUUUUGUUUAUCAUUAUCAUCAUGGCUGGCCACUUCAACUAAAGUGGGAAAUUUGACAUGCAAAUCCACUUAUUUACACCAUAAAUUAUUUGGCCAUUACAAAAAUAAUCUAUCAUAUUUUCAAAAAUUUUCACAUAAGUCCUAUUUAAUAAUUUCACUCAAAAUGACAAUAUUAAAGCAUGAAAUUUUCACACAUGCACUUUCACAUAUAAUAAGCACAGAAUAUAACAUCUAAUUAUUUUUAUGACUCGGUUUUGUGGUCCCGAAACCACUUUUCGGCUGGGGUCAAAUUAGGGCUGUCACAACUCUCCCCCUUAAGGAAUUUUCGUCCCUGAAAAUCUUACCAGCGAAAAGGUUAGGAUAACGUUCUUUCAUUGAAUCUUCUGGCUCCCACGUCGCUUCUUCAACCCCGUGUUUGAGCCACAGUACUUUCACUAAUGAGAUUUUCUUGUUUCGUAGUUCUUUUACUUUAUGAGCCAAAAUAUGAACCGGUUCCUCUUCAUAACUCAAAUCAGUCUGAAUUUCAAUCUCUGAUGGAUUAAUCACAUGACAAGGAUCGGAUCUGUACCGACGGAGCAUCGAAACAUGAAAAACAUUGUGAAUCUUUUCAAGUUCUGGUGGCAAAAGUGGUCUAUAAGCAACUGACCCAAUCCGUUUUGAAAUUUCGUAUGGCCCAUUUACGGCCAAAUCUGAGUACCUUUUUCCACGGUGAAACUUUAAGAAACACUUUAUCUCCGACUUGAUACUACAUAUCUUUACGCUUCAAGUCUGCAUAUGAUUUUUGACUAUCUGAUGCUACUUUCAGACUUUCUCGGAUCACUUUCACUUUCUGUUCGGCCUCUUUAAUCAAGUCAACUCCGUAAAUCUUAUUCUCACUAAGUUCGGUCCAAAAAAAAGAUGUACGGCAUUUACGACCGUACAAAGCCUCGUAAGGUGCCAUUUUGAUGCUCGAUUGAAAACUAUUAUUAUAUGCAAAUUCAACCAAAGGCAAGUAUCGAUCCCACGAAUUACUAAACUCAAGGAUGCAACAUCUCAACAUAUCCUCGAGUAUCUGAAUAAUUCACUCGGAUUGACCAUCAGUCUGGGGAUAAAAAGCGGUGCUAAAAUGCAACUUAGUACCCAAUGCUUCUUACAAUUUCUUCCAAAACCGCUAUGUAAAUCUCGGAUCUCUUUCCGGCACAAUAGAAGUAGGUACCCCAUGUAACCUUACAAUCUGAGAAACAUACAGUUCGGCUAGCUUAUCAAGUGAAUAAUCCGUACGUACGGGAAUAAAAUGAGCCGUCUUUGUCUAUCUAUCAACAACAACCCAAAUCGCAUCUUUCUUGCUUGGUGACAAUGGCAGCCCAGAUACAAAAUCCAUCAUGACUCGAUCCCACUUCCAUUCAGGUAUCAUGAUUGGCUGAAGUAAUCCCGAAGGCACUUGAUGUUCCACUUUCACUUGUUGGCAUAUCAAACACUUCGAAACAAAGUCAGAAAUGUUUCGUUUUAUACCAUGCCACCAAUACUGACGUUUCAGAUCGUUGUACAUUUUCGUACUACCCGGGUGAAUUGACAUUCGGCUGUCAUGAGCCUCGUUCAAAAUCAUUGGAAUAAGCUCUAAAUUUCUCGGAACACAUAAUCGAUUUCUGAACCUCAAACAUUGCUAUCAAUUAAAAACUCUGAAUCCUCUUUCAAAACACAUAAUGCUCGCUUUGCAACUAGUUCAUCAUCAACUUUUUGAGCUUCACGGAUUUGUUGCAUCAAUAACGGUUUUGCUUUUAACUCCGCUACUAAUACAUCAUCAGCAGACACAGACAGAUGCACAUUCAUUGUUCAGAAAACAAAUAGCGAUUUAACGCUUAAUGCAUCAGCAACCACGUUAGCCUUUCCUGGAUGGUAAUCAAUGACAAGCUCGUAGUCUUUCAAUAAUUCUAGCUAACGUCUUUGUCUCAAAUUCAAAUAUUUCUGAGUCAUCAAGUACUUGAGACUUUUAUGAUCAGAAUACACAUGACACUUUUCCCCGAAUAAGUAGUGGCGCCAAAUUUUCAAAACGAAGGCAAUGGCAACUAACUCGAGAUCAUGAGUCGGAUAAUUUUUCUCAUGUGGCUUCAAUUGUCUCGAAGCGUACGCUACAACUCUACCCUCUUACAUCAACACACAGUCCAAACCAUUCAGAGAUGCAUAACUGUAAAUCACAAAUUCUUUACCGGAUUCUGACUGAAGUAACACUGGAGCUUUAGUCAAAAGAGUUUUCAAUUGAUCAAAACUUUUCUGACACUUUUCUGACCACUCAAAUUUGAUAUCUUUCUGAAGCAGCUUUGUCAUCGGUGUUGCUAUCAUCGAGAAACCUUUUACAAACCGUCUGUAGUACCCGGUAAGUCCUAAAAAGUCAGAGGCUUCCAAUCAAGUAUAGCUGAAAUUUUACUCGGAUCAACUCGGAUGCCCGAUGCGGAUACAAUAUGCCCUAAAAAGCUGACUUCCCUCAACCAGAACUCACAUUUACUAAACUUCACAUAUAAUUGCUUGUCUCGCAAAAUCUGCAAUACUAAUUUCAAGUGCCCAGCAUGUUUAUUUUUAUCGCGUGAAUAGAUCAAAAUGUCAUCCAUAAACACAACUACAAACCGAUCCAAAUACUGUCUGAAAAUUCGAUUCAUUAAAUCCAUGAAAAUGGUAGGGGAAUUAGUGAGCCCAAACGGCAUCACUAGGAACUUAUAAUGUCCGUACCUCGUUCUGAAAGCAGUUUUAGGCACGUUAGAAUCUCUAACUCGCAACUGAUAAAAACCAGAUCUCAAGUCUAUAUUCGAAAAUACUGAGGCUCCUUUCAGUUGAUCAAAUAAAUCGUCUAUUCGUGGUAACGGAUAUUUAUUCUUUAUCGUUACUCUAUUAAGCUGACGAUAAUCAAUGCACAAUCUCAUGGUUCUGUCUUUCUUUUUCACAAACAGCACUGGUGCACCCCAAGGAGAAAAACUCGGUCGAGCAAAACCUCUAUCUGUCAACUCUUGCAACUGAGAUUUCAAUUCUUUUAAUUCGGUUGGUGCCAUACAAUACAGAGUUAUCGAAAUAAGUGUAGUUCCUGGUACUAAUUCAAUACCAAACUCUACCUCCCGAACAGGUGGUAACCCAGGUAAUUCCUUGGGGAACACAUCCGGAUAUUCACAAACCACGGGCACAGUCUCAAGUUUCUUUUCUGAUUCUUUACUAUCCAGUACGUAAGCAAGAUAUGCUUCACACCCCUUCUUCAUAUAUUUUUGAGCCAACAUCGGGGAUAUCACUGCCGGUGAUCCAUUUAAAUCGGUAGACUCAACUCGAAUUAUCUCAUUAUUUGAACACCUCAAAUCAAUUAUCUUUCGCUUGCAAUUUACUACUGCAUCAUGAACAGUUAACCAAUCCAUACCGAGAAUGACAUCAAACUCGUCAAACGGUAAUAACAUUAAAUCAGUCGGGAAGCAAGAAGCUCGGAUCAUCAAGGGACAUUUCUUACACACUUUGUCAACUAGCAUGUAACGGCCCAAAGGAUUAGACACCCGUAUCACAAACUCAGUAGACUCAACAGGUAGAGUCUUACUGGAUGCCAAAGUUUCACAUACAUACGAAUGAGUAGAACCGGGAUCAAUCAAAGCAAUAACAUUAGUAUAAAAAAGAGUGAAAGUACCGGUAAUAACAUCUGGCGAAGAAGCAUCCUCGCGUACGUGUAUAGCAUAGGCUCUGGAAGGUGCACGAGCCUCAGAACGUACAACAGUAUCUUUGGUCCCUCUUUGAUUUCCACUACCAUUUCCUGCAUGUCUAGGUGGUCUACCUCGUGUUGCAGUAUUACUAGGUCUCCCACUCGGAUCAGUAUUUUUUUCAGCUAAUUUCGGACAGUCUCUGAUAAAGUGAUCAGCUGAUCCACACUUGAAACAAGAGCGAUCAUGAAAUCUACAGCUUCCUGAAUGCCAUUUACCACAAUGCUUGCACUCAGAUCUGUCCUGACGAUCAUUGCCGACACUGGCAACAGAGGUGGCCCACGUACUCACUGGGGGUUGAUCACGAUCUCGUCUGGAAAAACCCGAAGUAUUCUUAGAUCGGCCUGAGUCAUCUCUAAAUUUCUUCGAUGACUGAUGAAAGAAUUUUCCAGAAGAUCUUUUACGGAACUCUCUAGCUCCAUCAUCAGCUUUUCUUUUCUCUUUACUAAGCUCUUCGACUUUAUAAGCUCGCUCGACAAGCACUACAAACUCUUUGAUUUCUAGAAUACCCACCAACAAUUUGAUGUCUUUAUUCAACCCGUCCUCGAAGCGUUUACACAUGAUGGCCUCAGACGAAACACAUUCCUGAGCAUAUCUACUAAGUCUAACAAACUUUCGCUCGUAAUCGGUAACUGUCAUAGAACCUUGUUUGAGCUCGAGAAAUUCCUUCCGUUGCUAAUCAAUGAAUCUUUGACUGAUAUAUUUCUUGCGGGACUCAGUUUGAAAGAAUUCCCAGGUAACCCGUUCUCUCGGCACCACUGAAAUUAAAGUAUUCCACCAAUAGUAGGCAGAAUCACGUAAAAGGGAUAUAGCACAUUUUAAGCAUUCAUUGGGUGUGCACGAUAAUUCAUCAAACACACGAAUGGUAUUAUCGAGCCAAAACUCAGCCUGCUCAGCAUCAUCACUGUCAGUAGCCUUGAACUCAGUAGCCCCGUGUUUUCGAAUCCUAUCAACCAGGGGCUUGCUCAACCUCAACGGGUCAACUACUGGAGGUACCACAGGUGCAGGGGUUGUAUUAGUCGGGGGUGGAGGAUGUGAAAUAGCCGGAUUAGUCCGAUAUACUAAGUAAACCAAUCGUUCAUCAUAGCAUAGAAGGCUUGUUUAGCCUCAUCAUUCUGAUUACUAGCAUUCGGUUGAGAGUCCAACGGCGCUGUCCCUAGCGCGGGUGCAGGCGCUACGCUCUCUACAUCAUCAGCUAUUGCUCGACCGGGAUCAGAAUUCAUUACUAUACGAAAAACAUGUUUCAAUUGUCAGAAAUCAUCACACUAUCAUAUUAACACUUUAUGGCAUGUAUAGCUAGACUCACAUACGCUACAUUAGUCCUAGAAUCAACUAAACCAUAGCUUUGAUACCAAUAAAAUGUAACACCUCUAUAACCCGUAUCCGUCGCCGGAGUGGGUUAUGAAGAGUUACUAAUCUGGAACUCAACAUUACUACAUACACAUUUACAUAAUUUCAUUAGCAAUUAUAUUUAUAGCCAAACACAAUCAAAGAUAGAAAUUCAAACUUAUAUCGACAUUCAAAAGUUGCCAUAUUCACAUGGCUUAUAUACAAGGACAUCUCAACAUAUCAUUCACUUAAUUCUAUUCUAUACAUGACAUACUAGCUCAAAAUAUAGUAGUACCAAAAUGAUAGAUAGUGUGACGAAUUGCUGACGAUCCCCUCCCCGAGCAGGUGACUGUAACCAACAAUCUAUAAAACAGGGAAAUAUAACAAACGGAGUAAGCUUUCAUAAGCUUAAUAAGUUUUAAGUAAUGCAACAAAUAAACUUAAUUAUAGAUCAAUUAUCCAAUUUCUCAAGAGAUCAUUUUCUAGAUAUAUUACUAUUUGGCCGAAUAUACACAAGCACAUAAUGCACAAUUACAUUCUCAUUUCACUUAAUCUGAAUUCAUAUAGCAUAAAUCAAUAAAUCGAAUAUUUUCACAUACUUUCACACCUUGACCGAAUGUAUCAUGAUCAUAGAUAUAGGUAUAACAUUUAUUCACAUAUGUAUCACAUUAUACACUUAUGAUUCAAUUCAAAUCAUACUCACAUAUAAAUACAAAAUACGUACCUGGCCCACUUAACGUGUUGAAUGUAUUCAUUUUGUCGUUCUAACACGAGGUAUCUUAGUUUUAGACUUUUAUCAAAUCAUCGGCAUUUAGCCUGCUAGGUUUAAAAACCCAAAUUCAUUCACCGGCAUUUCGCCUGCUAGGCUCGAAGCCCAAAUAGUAUCUCACCAGCAUUAUAGCCUACUAGGCUCAAAGGCCCGAGUGGUAUUUCACCGGCAUUAUAGCCUACUAGGCUUAAAGGCCCGAAUAGUAUCUCACCGGCAUUAUAGCCUGCUAGGCUCAAAGGCCCGAAUAGUACUAUACGAUAUUCAAAUCAAUAAGUUUCAUAUAACAUAAUCAUACCAAAUUGGAUACAAGCAUCAUUCGAACAUACAUCAUUUAAUCAUAAAAGUAUAUCACAUUUUACUUCCAUUACAAUUGCCAUUCAGACAUAUACAUAUAUGACAAAUAAUACUUAAUUCUUAUAAUAUGUCAUGUCAUUAUCAAAAUAUAUAUAUUUAACUACUUAAAACUUACCUCGAAUAU